ACUCAACGAACUUUUUUUAAAAGAGGUGAGUCCAUAUGGUAAAAGCAUGCUGCCUUGAGCAGAUCCUUGAUCCAUUGGUUAGCCGCAAUCCUGUAAUUAUGGAGUUU
Molecule: small RNA, 107 nt
Filed under: Flavobacteriaceae bacterium
Lineage: Bacteria; Pseudomonadati; Bacteroidota; Flavobacteriia; Flavobacteriales; Flavobacteriaceae
Description: 6S RNA
Rfam family: 6S-Flavo RNA
Source: RNAcentral